Molecule: long non-coding RNA, 339 nt
Filed under: Lathyrus oleraceus (garden pea)
Lineage: Eukaryota; Viridiplantae; Streptophyta; Magnoliopsida; Fabales; Fabaceae
Description: Pisum sativum (pea) long non-coding RNA (PSAT_LNC017133)
Source: RNAcentral
UUUUUUAGAUGAACGACGUUACUACGCAAUCUACCGGAUGCUCGACCUUUGGAGACUUACUCGCCUGUAGUAGAAGGAGUUAACGUGUUCUUAGGAGAAGAAAAAUCAAGGUUGUGUUUUUUAGAUGAACGACGUUACUACGCAAUCUACCGGAUGCUCGACCUUUGGAGACUUACUCGCCUGUAGUAGAAGGAGUUAACGUGUUCUUAGGAGAAGAAAAAUCAAUGAGUUUGUUUUUAUUUUAGGAAUGCUCAUGCAAAAAGGAAGUCCUAGAUGAAGGAACAGUGCUACCUUAAUUGAUAUGCAAACGAGAGACUAUACGAAGCCUAGCAAUCCUAC